Molecule: ribosomal RNA, 1315 nt
Filed under: Echinogammarus environmental sample
Lineage: Eukaryota; Metazoa; Arthropoda; Malacostraca; Amphipoda; Gammaridae
Description: SSU rRNA
Rfam family: Eukaryotic small subunit ribosomal RNA
Source: RNAcentral
GGCUUUCCUUUAUCUUGAAGAUUAAGCCAUGCAUGUCUAAGUAUGAACUGGUUUAAGGUGAAACUGCGUACGGCUCAUUACAUCAGCUAUAACUUUCUUUGAUCAUGAAUUCUAAAUGGAAUAACCGAGGAAAAGCCUGGGCUAAUACAUGCGACAAUUCCGGUAGUAAUAUCGGAAUGCUUUUAUUAGAUCAAAACCUUCUAGUUCUUUAAACGGAACUGUUUGUUGGUGACUCUAAAUAACUUUGUGUUGAUCGUAUGACCUUUGUGUCGACGACAUAUCUUUCAAGUGUCUGACUUAUCAACUUUAGACGGUACAUUAUAUGUCUACCGUGGUUGUAACGAGUACAGAGAAUCAGGGUUUGGUUCUGGAGAGGCCGCCUGAGAAACGGCGACCACUUCCAAGGAAGGCAGCAGGCGCGCAAAUUACCCACUCUCAAAACGAGGAGGUAGUGAAGAGAAAUAACGAUGUUAGUCUUUUUUAGGCUGAUAAUCGGAAUGGGAACACUGUAAAUAGGUUAUCGAUUAACAAUUGGAGGGCAAGUCUGGUGCCAGCAGCCGCGGUAAUUCCAGCUCCAAUAAGGAAAACUAAAGUUGCUGUGUUUAAAAAGCUCGUAGUUGAAUUUCGGGUAUUUGUUGCCAGUUGGUCUAACUGGCCAUAUUGGUUAACAGAUCCUCACUUGCUGGACGGCUGGCGAUGAUCUUUAUCGAUUGUCGUCAGUUGCCAGAACGUUUACUUUGAGAAAAUUAGAGUGCUAAAAGCAGGCUCACGCCUAUAUAUAUUGCAUGGAAUAAUGAAAUAAGAUCUCGAUUUUAUUUCGUUGGUUUUAGAAAUUGAGAUAAUGAUUAAUAGGAUCAGAGGGGGGCGUACGUACUGUGGUGUGAGAGGUGAAAUUCUUGGAUCGCCACAGGACGAACAGCAGCGAAGGCGUUCGCCAAGAAUGUUUUCAUUAAUCAAGAACGAAAGUUUGAGGUUCGAAGACGAUUAGAUACCGUCCUAGUUCAAACCAUAAACGUUGCCAACUGUCUUUUAGAUGCGGUUAUUCAUAUGACUCAUCUGGCGGAUCUCGAGAAAUCUAAGUUUUUAGGUUCCGGGGGAAGUAUGGUUGCAAAGCUGAAACUUAAAAGAAUUGACGGAAGGACACACAAGAAGUGGAGCCUGUGGCCUAAUUUGACUCAACACGGGAAACCUUACUCGGCCAGGACACUUUUAGGAUUGACAGAUUGAGAGCUCUUUCUUGAUUAGGUGGGUGGUGGUGCAUGGUCGUUCGUAGUUCGUGGAGCGAUUUGUCUGAUUAAUUUCGAUAACGAACGAG